CUACGGGAGGCACCAGUGAGGAAUAUUGCACAAUGGGGGAAACCCUGAUGCAGCAACGCCGCGUGGAGGAUGACGCGUUUCGGUGUGUAAACUCCUUUUAUCAGAGAAGAAAAUGACGGUAUCUGAUGAAUAAGCUCCGGCUAACUCCGUGCCAGCAGCCGCGGUAAUACGGAGGGAGCAAGCGUUAUUCGGAAUCACUGGGCGUAAAGGACGCGUAGGCGGGUUUUUAAGUCAGGUGUGAAAUCCUAUGGCUCAACCGUAGAACUGCACUUGAAACUGGGGACCUAGAGUAUGGAAGGGGCAGGUGGAAUUAGUGGUGUAGGGGUAAAAUCCGUAGAUAUCACUAGGAAUACCGAAAGCGAAGGCGACCUGCUGGGACAUUACUGACGCUGAGGCGUGAAAGCGUGGGGAGCAAACAGGAUUAGAUACCCCAGUAGUC
Molecule: ribosomal RNA, 439 nt
Filed under: uncultured bacterium
Lineage: Bacteria
Description: partial 16S ribosomal RNA
Rfam family: Bacterial small subunit ribosomal RNA
Source: RNAcentral